This 467-nucleotide ribosomal RNA is filed under the name unidentified nematode Sourhope farm. Its description in RNAcentral is "SSU rRNA". It matches the Rfam family "Eukaryotic small subunit ribosomal RNA", at positions 58 to 532 of the family's 1831-position model. Lineage: Eukaryota; Metazoa; Nematoda. The record is from RNAcentral.
UCUAAGCAGAGCCCUUGAAUGGUAAAGCCGCGAAUGGCUCAUUACAACAGCCACAGUUUAUUGGGUCAUUUACUUGGAUAACUGAGCUAAUUGUUGAGCUAAUACACGCACCAAAGCUUCGACCUCACGGGAGGAGCGCAUUUAUUAGAACAAAACCAAUCGGACUUCGGUCCGUCCAUUGGUGAAUCUAAAUAACUUAGCCGAUCGCAUGGUCUCGCACCGGCGACUCACCUUUCAAAUGUCUGCCUUAUCACCUUUCGAUGGUAGUUUAUACGCCUACCAUGGGUUUUACGGGUAACGGAGAAUAAGGGUUCGACUCCGGAGAGGGAGCCUGAGAAACGGCUACCACAUCCAAGGAAGGCAGCAGGCACGCAAAUUACCCACUCCCGGCACGGGGAGGUAGUGACGAAAAAUAACGAGGCGGUUCUCUAUGAGGCCCGCCAUCGGAAUGGGUACAAUCUAAAUCC